GUAGUCCACGCCGUAAACGAUGGGUACUAGAUGUUGCAGGAAUUGACCCCUGCAGUGUCGACGCUAACGCAUUAAGUACCCCGCCUGGGAAGUACGGUCGCAAGAUUAAAACUCAAAGGAAUUGACGGGGGCCCGCACAAGCGGUGGAGCAUGUGGUUUAAUUCGAUGCAACGCGAAAAACCUUACCUGGGUUUGACAUCCCAAGACAGCCGUAGAGAUACGGUUUCCCCUUCGGGGGCUUGGAGACAGGUGCUGCAUGGCUGUCGUCAGCUCGUAUCGUGAGAUGUCGGGUUAAGUCCCUUAACGAGCGCAACCCUUAUCCCUAGUUGCCAUCAUUUAGUUGGGCACUCUAUGGAGACUGCCGGUGUUAAACCGGA
Molecule: ribosomal RNA, 377 nt
Filed under: uncultured bacterium
Lineage: Bacteria
Description: bacterial SSU rRNA
Rfam family: Bacterial small subunit ribosomal RNA
Source: RNAcentral